UUGAGUCAAUGCAUAGGUACAUGUUAGAGAACGAUGUACUGGACAGACCCACCGUGAGAAUUCUAUAUGGAGCAUUAUGCGAAGUGUCAUUAGCAAUUCUCAUAGUGACAAUGAUGUAAUGGUCCUCCGACCUGAAAUCGCUAUAUUACUACACGAGAAUUUAUGUACUUUGAUAUCAUCAAAUGUCACCUUUAAUAGGGUGG
RNAcentral lists this long non-coding RNA (203 nucleotides) under Panax ginseng (ginseng). Its description in RNAcentral is "long non-coding RNA (PGIN_LNC004085)". Lineage: Eukaryota; Viridiplantae; Streptophyta; Magnoliopsida; Apiales; Araliaceae. The record is from RNAcentral.